Molecule: long non-coding RNA, 1195 nt
Filed under: Androctonus crassicauda
Lineage: Eukaryota; Metazoa; Arthropoda; Arachnida; Scorpiones; Buthidae
Source: RNAcentral
UGAAAACUGAAUUUUUGAUGCUAACAUUUAAACAUAUAUAUAUAUAUAUAGAAUCCAGGCAUUAGAACCAAGUACUAAAAUAAGUUUGGGAAAUAACAAUAACAUGCCAAAGUUGCGAAGUAAUUAAAGCGUCGGGAACUUCCAACUUUUAAAAACGAAUGCGAUAAACGUAGCGUAAUUGUUAAAUUAUACAACGCUCUAAUUAACACUUUCAUGAUGGGAGGAGAGACUGAAAUGUCCGACUACGCUACUUUUCCCAACACGACAGUAAAAUUAAUCAAUUUAGUUAACUUGGAAUUUAGUCCGGUACGCUUCAGUUACCGACCAAAACGAAGAAUUGUCAGUAAUUUACCUUAUCAGUUUAUCUAUAAAAAUUAUCCAGGCCCGAACAGUAACUCUGGUCCUUCCUUCGCAUUCUUGUCAAAUUUAAUUUAUAAUUAGUAAAAAUGGUGUAAAAAAAAAAAGAUGGCCGAAAGAAAAGAACGACAGAUCAGCCCAAAAUAGGACGUUAUGGAAUUCAACCUCUGGAUAUCGAUCUCAUAUAUCCUUAUCCCAUUUUUAACCGAUAAUCUCGUAUAUAACCACCGAUUACCAAUUGAUCGAUUAAAACCAUGAGAAAAUAGUGUUAAAAAAUAAAUAAAAGUUGGAAAUCUAAAUUUCAUCUUAUUGCCUUCACCUAUUUGCAUAUUCAUUUAUUUUAACACGUACCAUCUAAUUUGCAUUGACGUCAUCAACCCGGGUGGCUGGAUAGUGAAGAUCCAGGAUGAAAUCACCAAACAGCGCUUAACGUUAGCUAACCAAUAAAUUUAACGAGAUAGCCAAUAACGGGCCGAAAAUUGGUGCAAAACGGUGAGGAAGAAUCCCAGCCAAGACCGAAAAGUCAUUAACUAGCGCGAAAAAAAUUAAAUUGGGAUUAGGAAACUAUCGGAAGAGAAUGAGGAUAGUUUAAAAUUCUAGAAAAUAGGCCUAUUGUAUUUGGCAAGUAAAACUUAGUUUACGAUUUAACAAAAAACAAUACGGUCAACCAAGUAGCCUAUAUUCUAAUUUCUCAGCCAUAUGCCGUACUUCUUUUUUUAUGUAUUACUAGAAAUUACCCGCUUAUGUGGAUGAGCGGAGGUAUAAUCUUGUGAUUUGGUCUUAUAAUACUGUGUAUAGUGGAAAACAUCUACAAAUUCGUGUAGGGUUGAAAGAUCGU